RNAcentral lists this ribosomal RNA (496 nucleotides) under uncultured bacterium. RNAcentral's name for it is "partial 16S ribosomal RNA". It matches the Rfam family "Bacterial small subunit ribosomal RNA", at positions 28 to 507 of the family's 1533-position model. The record is from RNAcentral.
GAUGAACGCUGGCGGCGUGCCUAAUACAUGCAAGUCGAGCGAACAGACGAGGAGCUUGCUCCUCUGACGUUAGCGGCGGACGGGUGAGUACACGUGGAUAACCUACCUAUAAGACUGGGAUAACUUCGGGAAACCGGAGCUAAUACCGGAUAAUAUAUUGAACCGCAUGGUUCAAUAGUGAAAGACGGUUUUGCUUUCACUUAUAGAUGGAUCCGCGCCGCAUUAGCUAGUUGGUAAGGUAACGGCUUACCAAGGCAACGAUGCGUAGCCGACCUGAGAGGGUGAUCGGCCACACUGGAACUGAGACACGGUCCAGACUCCUACGGGAGGCAGCAGUAGGGAAUCUUCCGCAAUGGGCGAAAGCCUGACGGAGCAACGCCGCGUGAGUGAUGAAGGUCUUCGGAUCGUAAAACUCUGUUAUUAGGGAAGAACAAAUGUGUAAGUAACUAUGCACGUCUUGACGGUACCUAAUCAGAAAGCCACGGCUAACUACGUG